Molecule: ribosomal RNA, 117 nt
Filed under: Candidatus Lucifugimonas marina
Lineage: Bacteria; Bacillati; Chloroflexota; Dehalococcoidia; Candidatus Lucifugimonadales; Candidatus Lucifugimonadaceae
Source: RNAcentral
CUUGGUGGUAAGAGCAUGAUGGCCCCACCCGUUCCCAUCCCGAACACGGAAGUGAAACGUCAUAGCGCUCACGAUACUGCACCUGCGAGGGUGUGGGAAAAUAGGUCACCGCCAGGG